Molecule: long non-coding RNA, 506 nt
Filed under: Daucus carota (carrot)
Lineage: Eukaryota; Viridiplantae; Streptophyta; Magnoliopsida; Apiales; Apiaceae
Description: long non-coding RNA (DCAR_LNC002394)
Source: RNAcentral
AAGGCUUAACAGCCUUCCCUAUGGUUUCUUGGAGGGAUAACGAUUCAUUUCGAGAAGAAGCUCCAUGCUGGAAUGAAGCUGAAUGCCAGGAAGAAGUCCCAAGAAAAGCAUCAACAGAGAAGCAAACAAGAAGAAUCGUUUGUCACUUACAGGGGUUUAGAGGUGCAGAGGCCCAUUCACUCGAGGCCCAUUCACCAUAUUUAACACUCACGUUGUAGCACUGGAAUGUGGUAGAAUCUUGGAGGCAGAAAUAGCAAUAUUUACUUGGUUAUUUCUGGGCUGUAUUAAAAGAAGUGUACGGAGUGUCAAUAUGCAGUGUGUGAAAGUCGGGAAACAGGAGGAGGUUUGGAUGGUCGGAACUGUCGACUUUGUGUGGACUGUGUGCAUGCAUGUAGGUGGUAACAUGCUGAUGAACAGGAUGCCAGACGGGCAAAACAAAAGGCCAGACGGGCCAGCCAAACAAAAGGCCACACGGGUUAAGUUGAAAGCCAUACCGGCUUGUGAAG